AAGGGGUGCGGCCGAAGACCCCGCCCCCUCCUCUGCUUUGAGCCACUUCUGGGCGUGCGUUCGGGUUGCUGGGGUGUAGAGGUGGCGGCCUCCGCGGCCCCUUUGAUGGAUGUCCAGCCGAUGGACGGGCUGCGUGGGUGUGAGGGGCAGGAGUCCGGCCUCCGAGCAGUGGGCGGUUGCGGACGGGAGGCGCGAGGAGUGCCGGGACACCGAGGUCCGCUGCCCUGCCGGCCCCUACUGGUCUUUUGACUCCCAGGAAGAAGAAUUCCUCUGUGUGGAAAAUGGCAUUUUAAAAUAUCAAAACCAUUGCUUGGGCAUUUUCUAGGAUAACAUUAGGGGCUGAAAUGCUAAAUUCUAUCUUCAAUUUCUACUAUGUAAAGGCUUUUUUACACCUGUACAAGAUUUCAGAAGUGGCCUUUUACCAAGCGCAGGUGAGAUGGAGCCCUUGUUGUCCUUUCACCUUAGGACAGAGUUUCUCCUUCCUCAUAGUUGUGCCUUGCUGUGAUUUUGCAAGGAGCUGAUUCCUCAUGAGCUGAAAGAGUUAACUAUCAAGAAGAGGUUAUCCAUGUCCAAGAUCCUCUGUUUAACGGCAAAGAGACUUUUGAAAGAUUGUCAAAACACAACAGCUUUAGAGUUUAAAGGUUUUCAGGCCAUCACUGUUGUCAUGCUAUUCUUGCUACUGCCAGCCUUUACAUUGGCAUGCGCCACGUGAGUCACUUAGAACCUAAAAGAAGCCCUGAGGAAAACCCUUUCUCAGAAACUGAAUAGGAUCUCCCCUGGACCUCCAUCAUCUCACUGAUGAGACAAAUCUUGAUCCAGAAAAACUUUUGCCUUUUUCUGACUAUGAAUUUCUUCCAAGUCUUCCAUUUAACCUUCUUCAGUAACUUCAUGAUGAUCUCUGUUGAUAAUCUCAUUCCUAAGGAUGUUCUUCCUUCUUCCAUAAGGGGCAUCAGGCUUUAUCUGCCCACAGGUAUGUGAUGAUUCUUCAUGUAUCUUCCUACAGGGAUUAAAGAUGUAACUCUUACCUGGCUGAGGAAUUAAAAACCUGAUUAUAUCAGUAGUUGGAAAAAAUGAUUCACAUUUAUUAAGAGACCCAAAGAUUCAGAGUCCCAGAAAUUAUACAAGAUUCUGUAGAAACAUAAUGGAAAGCAAGAGAUUCAAGGAAAAAAGGAAGGAGCACCCAA
Long non-coding RNA from Orcinus orca (killer whale), 1184 nucleotides. RefSeq lists it as uncharacterized. The record is from RefSeq and is a predicted model, not a curated record. The transcript is spliced from 3 exons. Lineage: Eukaryota; Metazoa; Chordata; Mammalia; Artiodactyla; Delphinidae.